UUCUGUUAUCCUGGAGGUACAUGACUUGUUGCGUGGGGUCCUUACACUAUGAGACCCUUUGUAAGCAGAAACUAAGGUUCUGACGUGGUAAGGUCAAAAACAGGGAGGCUUCGAAGCUGAAGUUGACCAUUUCUGUAUUUUCACGCUCAUCAACUAGUUGUUUAUGGGAUAUCGACAUCGAAUGCUGGGUCUAUUCAUUAUUUGGUAAAAGUUGUGGAGUUGAAGACUGGGAGGACCUUGAAGAUGAAAGAAUGAAUAGGAGAGACAUCAUCUAAAUCAGUGCAUUUUGCUAAUUAUCACCGGUCAUAACUAACAGGUUAAAGUUUCUGAGAAUAUUUCUUGGAUUGUAUGAUAAGUCAAGAUUGUGAUUUAUAAU
RNAcentral lists this long non-coding RNA (376 nucleotides) under Spirodela polyrhiza (greater duckweed). RNAcentral's name for it is "long non-coding RNA (SPOL_LNC001374)". Lineage: Eukaryota; Viridiplantae; Streptophyta; Magnoliopsida; Alismatales; Araceae. The record is from RNAcentral.